GGAGUUCAUCGUCAAAGUAUCUAGUAUUAGUGGAAGUUAUGAUAUGGUUAUAAUCCUCGUGGUUAGUAAAUUAUACAUUCUUGUACUAUUUUGCUGGGUACGACGGCGUGCACUUCUCCUCUAGUAGAACGUCGCGACCCGUUGGAUGUUGAUCUAUGGCCUGAAUGGUUGACUUUGAUUUUGCUUGCAUUAUCGAAGACCUUCAGUAUUCUGAUCAUCUGUCCGACGGUAUACAUAUGAUAUACAGUCGCUAUUAUAUGCGUUAAAUCCACUGCAAGUGUUGUUAAUAUUCGGCAGUACGGAUCUGAUGCCGUCGCUGAUGUUGACUCACUGUUGGCAAGUGGUAUUCUUUAACUGACUUAAUACCUGUCAGCGAUGCUACUGCUUUGGGUACUUUCAGGACCCGUCUUGAAACACGGACCAAGGAGUCUAACAUGUACGCGAGUCAUUGGGAUUAUAAAAACAAACCUAAAGGCACAAUGAAAGUGAAAAUUGUUGUAUGACAAUUUAAGGGAAGACGAGUUACGUUACGAUGUAAUUCCGCAUUCCCGGGGCG
RNAcentral lists this ribosomal RNA (556 nucleotides) under Phanerotoma sp. RK403. Its description in RNAcentral is "eukaryotic LSU rRNA". It matches the Rfam family "Eukaryotic large subunit ribosomal RNA", at positions 386 to 768 of the family's 3401-position model. Lineage: Eukaryota; Metazoa; Arthropoda; Insecta; Hymenoptera; Braconidae. The record is from RNAcentral.